RNAcentral lists this ribosomal RNA (253 nucleotides) under uncultured bacterium. Its description in RNAcentral is "partial 16S ribosomal RNA". It matches the Rfam family "Bacterial small subunit ribosomal RNA", at positions 524 to 776 of the family's 1533-position model. The record is from RNAcentral.
UACGGAGGGUGCAAGCAUUAAUCGGAUUUAUUGGGCGUAAAGGGCGCGUAGGCGGGGAAAUAAGUCGGACGUGAAAUCCCGGGGCUCAACCCCGGAACAGCAUCUGAAACUGUUUUUCUUGAGGGUAGGCGGAGAAAACGGAAUUCCACAAGUAGCGGUGAAAUGCGUAGAUAUGUGGAAGAACAUCUGUGGCGAAGGCGGUUUUCUAGCUUACACCUGACGCUGAGGCGCGAAAGCAAGGGGAUCAAACAGG